RNAcentral lists this ribosomal RNA (497 nucleotides) under uncultured bacterium. Its description in RNAcentral is "partial 16S ribosomal RNA". It matches the Rfam family "Bacterial small subunit ribosomal RNA", at positions 28 to 507 of the family's 1533-position model. The record is from RNAcentral.
GAUGAACGCUGGCGGCGUGCCUAAUGCAUGCAAGUCGAGCGAACAGAUGAGGAGCUUGCUCCUCUGACGUUAGCGGCGGACGGGUGAGUAACACGUGGAUAACCUACCUAUAAGACUGGGAUAACUUCGGGAAACCGGAGCUAAUACCGGAUAAUAUAUUGAACCGCAUGGUUCAAUAGUGAAAGACGGUUUUGCUGUCACUUAUAGACGGAUCCGCGCCGCAUUAGCUAGUUGGUAAGGUAACGGCUUACCAAGGCAACGAUGCGUAGCCGACCUGAGAGGGUGAUCGGCCACACUGGAACUGAGACACGGUCCAGACUCCUACGGGAGGCAGCAGUAGGGAAUCUUCCGCAAUGGGCGAAAGCCUGACGGAGCAACGCCGCGUGAGUGAUGAAGGUCUUCGGAUCGUAAAACUCUGUUAUUAGGGAAGAACAAAUGUGUAAGUAACUAUGCACGUCUUGACGGUACCUAAUCAGAAAGCCACGGCUAACUACGUG